RNAcentral lists this ribosomal RNA (253 nucleotides) under uncultured bacterium. Its description in RNAcentral is "partial 16S ribosomal RNA". It matches the Rfam family "Bacterial small subunit ribosomal RNA", at positions 524 to 776 of the family's 1533-position model. The record is from RNAcentral.
UACGGAGGGUGCAAGCGUUAUCCGGAAUCACUGGGUUUAAAGGGUGCGUAGGCGGUGGCGUAAGUCAGUUGUGAAAUUCCCCGGCUUAACCGGUGGACUGCGAUUGAUACUGCGUUACUUGAAUCAGGUUGAGGUAGGCGGAAUGUGACAUGUAGCGGUGAAAUGCUUAGAUAUGUCAUAGAACACCGAUUGCGAAGGCAGCUUGCUGGACCUGUAUUGACGCUGAGGCACGAAAGCGUGGGGAGCAAACAGG